This 498-nucleotide ribosomal RNA is filed under the name uncultured bacterium. RNAcentral describes it as "partial 16S ribosomal RNA". It matches the Rfam family "Bacterial small subunit ribosomal RNA", at positions 28 to 523 of the family's 1533-position model. The record is from RNAcentral.
GAUGAACGCUAGCGGCAGGCCUAAUACAUGCAAGUCGGACGGGAUUGGAGAGCUUGCUUUCCAUGAGAGUGGCGCACGGGUGCGUAACACGUAUGUAACCUACCUUGUUCAGGGGGAUAGCCUCUCGAAAGAGAGAUUAAGACCGCAUAACAUUGCGAUGUGGCAUCACAUUGUAAUCCAAUAUUUAUAGGAACAAGAUGGGCAUGCGGAACAUUAGCUAGUUGGUAAGGUAACGGAUUACCAAGGCUACGAUGUUUAGGGGAUCGGAGAGGAUGACCCCCCACACUGGUACUGAGACACGGACCAGACUCCUACGGGAGGCAGCAGUAAGGAAUAUUGGUCAAUGGGCGGAAGCCUGAACCAGCCAUGCCGCGUGCAGGAAGACGGCCCUAUGGGUUGUAAACUGCUUUUGCAGGGGAAUAAACCUUGGUACGUGUACCAAGCUGAAUGUACUCUGAGAAUAAGGAUCGGCUAACUCCGUGCCAGCAGCCGCAGUAA